This 65-nucleotide transfer RNA is filed under the name Alobaldia tobae. Its description in RNAcentral is "tRNA-Cys". The record is from RNAcentral. Lineage: Eukaryota; Metazoa; Arthropoda; Insecta; Hemiptera; Cicadellidae.
AGUCUUAUAGUUUAGUUAUAAAAAUUUUGAAUUGCAAGUUCAAAGAUGAUAUUUUCUAAGACUUA